CCUACGGGAGGCAGCAGUAGGGAAUAUUGGGCAAUGGAGGCAACUCUGACCCAGCCAUGCCGCGUGAACGAAGAAGGCGCUAUGCGUCGUAAAGUUCUUUUAGAGGGGGCGAAAACACUUGAUUCAUCAAGUACUGACGGUACCUUCGGAAUAAGCACCGGCUAACUCUGUGCCAGCAGCCGCGGUAAUACAGAGGGUGCAAGCGUUAUCCGGAAUCACUGGGUUUAAAGGGUGCGUAGGCGGGAUUAUAAGUCAGAGGUGAAAUCUCGUCGCUUAACGACGGAAUUGCCUUUGAUACUGUUUUUCUUGAAAUUUGUUGAGGUUGGCGGAAUGAGACAUGUAGCGGUGAAAUGCUUAGAUAUGUCUUAGAACACCGAUUGCGAAGGCAGCUGACUGGACAAUAUUUGACGCUGAGGCACGAAAGCGUGGGGAUCAAACAGAAUUAGAUACCCUGGUAGUCCACGCCCUAAACGAUGUUUACUUGCUGUUUGUUUUUCGGAAUGAGUGGCGAAGCGAAAGCGAUAAGUAAACCACCUGGGGAGUACGCCCGCAAGGGUGAAACUCAAAUGAAUUGACGG
This 578-nucleotide ribosomal RNA is filed under the name uncultured bacterium. Its description in RNAcentral is "bacterial SSU rRNA". It matches the Rfam family "Bacterial small subunit ribosomal RNA", at positions 338 to 916 of the family's 1533-position model. The record is from RNAcentral.